Non-coding RNA from Schistosoma rodhaini, 45 nucleotides. Lineage: Eukaryota; Metazoa; Platyhelminthes; Trematoda; Strigeidida; Schistosomatidae. The record is from Rfam.
AUCCAGCUGUCGAUUCCCAAAUAGGACAAAACGUGCGUCCUGGAU